UCAAUAAGGUGGUAGCUGAUUCCAAUAGCACCAGUGAAAGUUUGAAACCACGGGGUAGUAUAGACUCGACUCCAAACAAGCAGAGGGUUUAAGAAGAGAGUAUCCAAUGUGCUCUUUAUAGCCUUAAAGCAGUGGUUCGGGAAUGAAACACGGACAUCAGAGGAAUACGUAGUAAGUCAAGUCAGAAAACAAUUCGAAAGUAGGAAUAAGGAGUAGGAUAAUCAAACAAAGAAUCAAUAUUGACACAAGAAAAGGGAAUUCACCAGUGCACUAAGAGACUGAAACUGAACUCGGGAAUGAAAGAAACCGGAAUUCAACCAUCAAGUAAGGGCACCGAGAUUCUACAGUUUUGUAAAGAAUUAGUGGAAAAGCUAGGGUACCAAUAUCAUAUAGAACUGUCAUGGCACCAAUAAGACCUUAGUCGGGAACUCAAACUCUCACGAGGAUAGAAACGAUGUCAACAAGACUGACCUUAGAGCCUUGCUUGUGCUAGUUCGACCUUGUCCCAAGUCUUAUAUACUGAGCUACAAAACGGAGAGUGGAGUUAUUUACCGCGGGAGCACAUUUCCUUAGUGGUACGCUGAGUUGCACUAAGUAGAUAGGAGAAUCCAAAAAGGGGGUAAUAAGGAAUCCAGAUAAUAAGUAGGAGUCAUAAGUAGGAGAGUGACCCCAGUGCUAACAAGAAUAGAGCUCACGGACGGAAAGGUGGAACCCAACUACUGAUAAGAGGAAUCAAACCUAUGCUAAUCGGAAUGACGCAAAGAAGCUUGAAUCCAACUACUAUUAUUAGACCUUAGCUACUUACUUCGAAGCGGAACCUAUUACUUAUGGGAAUCAAACUGUUAACAAACGGAUAGUAGUAGAGGACAUAGAACCAAACUCCGUAUUAGAAGAAUUGCACCCGGAAUGCGACUAGUAAGUCAUAGGCUUAAAUCACUACAGGAAAGAAAGGCAUUAGUAAUAACAAGAAUAGAACAGGGGAAUACGAGAGUAAAGUGUCAAUCAAAAGAAUAGAACGCGAGAGCCAACACCAAGAACUGUAAGCGUUAACCUAGGAGCGGAGCCUAUAUCUACUGCUUUAAGCCUGGGUUCACCUCUUCCUUUCUUUCAAGCUAUUAUUCCUUUCAGAAAGUCUUUCUCAGCUGUAAAAGAGCCUCGAGGCUAUUCUUCCCCACUGAAAUGGUUCCCCCCAUACAAAAUACAUACUAUAGGAAUGAAACAUAGGAAGUCAGAACUCCACUCGAUACAUGGAAUCUGGAGCGUGGGAAUGCAAUAGGAAAACGAGAACCAAACACGUAUUACACAAAACAUACACACAUCAACUUAGGGCUACCUUCGCGCAUUCGGCGAGGAGCCAUUCACUCGUUCUGUGUAGGGAAAGGAAGGCAUACAAAGGUCUUGGAGCAGCACCUUUGCUAUGUCUACGCAAAACACACACAUCAACUUAGGGCUACCUUCGCUAAUUCUGCGAGGAGCCAUUCACUCGUUCUGUGUGUGCGCGGCCGUGUACUCAACUAAGUGUUUGACGUGUACUCCACUAAGCCCUAAGCCCUUGAGUAGCACCAUUCAUUCAGAAAGUCUCUAAGCUAAUUCUGCAAAGUGGCAGAAAGUCUCUAAGCUAAUUCUGCAAAGUGGUAUCGCUCAUUCGGCGAGGAUUCGAAUUACAUACAGACAGCAGAACCGGGUUGGAAGUUGGAAUGAAAGAAUGGAGUUUACCAGCGAAAAACAAAGACUGGCGCCGACACCCUCCCUUAAUUAGGAAACUGAUGGGGUAUGGUCUGGCCUAUCCUUAAGUUGUAGACCCGAAACCCUGUAAUGGCUUUCUACGUAAUGGCUUUCUACCUAAAACUAGGCGAACAGAAGAACGCAACUUAGAACCAAUAACAAAAACACAGAUGUAAGAGCACUGCUUAGGAUCUCGAUGUUACUUAACGAAUACUUAGAAGAGGGGUUCCGACUAAGAGAAUACAAAGAAAGAGACUCCGAAUAGGGAUGUGACUUAACGAUAACCAAUAGGAAAGAGACUCCGAAUAGGGAUGUGACUUAACGAUAACCAAUAGAGAUGUUAUUUGACUUAACACCAAACCAUAGCUCGAUCAUUAAAGUGAGAAACUCGGUACCUUUUUAGACCCCUUAUUGACUUUGUUUCCUUCAUAAAACAUAAGAGAACUACUCUAAUGAAACAUAAGAGAACUACUCCAAAUAUUCUAAUGAGAAAAGAAAGAUUCAAUUAGAAUGAGAACACUGUCCACUACUACUGUCUUGAAGCCUUUGUUCUGUGUUUUCGCCGUGUUAGUUACCACCUAUUAAUACUGCUAUUAAUACAGAUUGAAAUCAAUGAUCAAAAGAUUGUGGAACACUGUCCACUACGACUGAAACCAGCGCAGAAUAUAGAAGCGUCUACCACUGUAAUAAAGAAAGCAACCACAUUACUAGAUCUCGGGCUUACAACCAUGACUUUGAUUCCCGAACUAUGGUAAUUUGCUUGGCGAAUCAAACACUCAAGUCAGAACUAAUCCACCCUUACAAGAAUAUGGCUCCCAUGGAAUAAGGGCAGAGAGGCGACAUCAUAAUUGACCUCUACAGACAGGAUAUAAGCAUGAGGAUAGGGAUGCUAACUACUGAUACUGAACCCAAUAUCUACUUUUACACCGAUGUGAAGCUGGCAACUGAUGCGCAUGGGAUAGAAUAGCACCAAGGCCAGUGAAACCCAGGCUAGUGAGAAGCAAAUGCUAACCAACAAGACAGCCGUUGUUGAAUAGGAAGAAAAGCCAGCUUUUGUCCUCAUUUCUCUAGAAGCACACGAACAAUUAGGAUUUCUCUAGAAGCAUACGAACAAUUAGGAUACCACACACACACACACAGCUACUUAACUUCGCUUAGAUCGCUCAUUCCACGAGUAGACAAAACGGGAGUAGACAAACCGGAUGUAAACAUAAACACGAGUAGAAAACGUUAUUAAACACGAGUAGAAACCUACUUCUUUCUUAUUAUUAUUGUAUAUAUCGUAGCAUGUGCUUAACGCGCCAAAACUCUAUCUUGAAGAGCGCGCCCCCUCCAUCUACGAGAAUGCAACAUAAGAUACCAUGGAACGCACCAAAAGAAAUAAGGGUCAUUGUACGAGAUAGAAUUCACCCCCAAAUACAUGAAUGUAGCCGCUCCCCACAGACAAGUGGCUGAGUACGGCAGAAGAAAACUAGCAAUAAGGAACUCUUUUUCAUUGUACAGGAAUGACUCCUCUAAUGGGUGCUCUAAGAGUGGGUUGAACCUUGAAUCAUACCGAAAUGAAUUAAGGGCACAGCACUUGGUCUAACUACUAAGCUUGUCGACUUGGCCGGCUCACCGUUGCUUGGCUAGUCCUAAUUAAGCCCUCUUCCUAUUACACUUUCUUUCAUUGCUCCUCUCUUGCUUGGCAUUCCCUCUCUCUUCCUAUUCUACUUCCAUUGGAACCAGUUGUCGCUGCAAUUCUCGCCUGUUACGGUGCUGGUCAACCAACAGGUGUUUUUUAUGGACUAGUUGUUCCUGCAUGCAAUUCUCGCCUGUUACGGUGCUGGUCAACCAACAGGUGUUUUUUUAUGGACUAGUUCUUUCCUUGAAGGCAGUUACCUUGGAUGUGGGUCUAUCCGAUUUGGAGAGCUACCCCGUUUGGCUAAAAACGGACUUUUCUGGAGCACCCCUCUAUAAGGAAGGUUUAGUUGAAUGCCUUUCUCUCUAAAAGGUUUAGUUGAAUGCCUUUUCAUUAACAGACAGAGUGUAUGGCGGCGUGACGCUGUCUAAGGUCAAUUUAGAAGUCUUUGUUUCAAGUGCUUGCUUCAAGUGUCUUUGUUCAAGUGCUUGCUUCAAGUAAUGUAAUAAGAUGGUUGUCGAACGGACUGCCCAUUAGGAUACCUAUCGGCUGUUUCUGACUUUUCCAGGUAACUCAGUGACCUCCUACUCUUUCUUUUCGUUUAGCAGCACUCGAUCUUUCCACUCUACUUCAGUACUUUUAGAUCCGAUGAAAACCCACUCUAUACAUAUAAGGGGCUCGAGGUAACUCCACUAGACCAGAUCGAACUACGGUGCCGGACUGAAUUGGGAUGGCAGCGUGAGCAGACAGCGAGGGAGGUACUACGGGACCGGCCUCACCAAUCUCUUUCUAUUUAUCAGCACUUUUCUUUGGCAAAAAACACUCGGCUUCUGCUAAAACGAAAUGGAAUCCUAAAAAAACAUCUUUAUUAAGGCGAUGAUCCUCUUUAUGCUAGACGAACGACCCCUUCUCUCGGCGAAUCACACUGGUGGUAGGAAAACGGCAGGCACGACUCUCUUCGUGUGGAUCCAAGGCCUUCCUAGUCACAUACAUAUGGUAGGAUUCUAAGAGGUUCAUUACCUCCCAUUUAUGAGUUACACGCAGCCCUCCUACAGCAAGCAACCUAGAGCUUUAUAUAGCCGAUGAUCUUCUGCCUCAUGUUUCCGACUCCAUGAAUCAUCAGAGUCUCUUCUCUCGUCAAAAGGCCAUAUAAAGAAAGACAAAAGAAUCGAAUAAUGUUGAUGGAUGACACGAAGGUUCGAGGGAAGUAGUUAGCCUUCACCAGAAUAGACAGCGGCCUCUUGUGCUUCAUCUCACUUCAUCUAUUUACCUCGACUGCCAUCCGUGAAUGUGUUAAGUGCUUAGAGAGCCAUUUCUAUCCCAUAGCUACGUCGGCGCUCUACUGUCUCAUAGUUCCAAGUAUAGAAAACAAACCUUGUAGUCUUAGUUAUGGCCCAUGAUUACCCGUGGCCGAUCAGGAUCCCAAUCAUUUCGUCCUAAACUCCUUUGUCUUUAUUGGCCAGCUUCCCCGUAGUAUAAGCCUUUCCACUUCUAUCUCUGUCCGGUAAGCAUAGAACACUUAAGCCUACCCGCUGGCUAACAAAGCUGACGCUCACGCAUCUUACUACACGGUUGGUUGCUGACAAUAAUCAUUUAGAAUAGGUAGGUCAAAAAGAAAGCUAUUCCAGAGAUAGAUGGGCAGGAAUCCGGAGGAGUUGAAAUCAUCAUAUAUCUCUUUGCCUUUGAGGUCCCGGUAGUAUCAAGCCAUAAACCUUGUCUUUCACAGGCAAACUCACGUAAUCUAUAGUCUCUGGAACUCUAACCACCCUUGUUUGUUCUGUUGUUUGAUUCUUUGUAUCGCUGCUAUCUCAACGGAAUUGACUGCGGACCUCUCCCUUAUCCUGAUGGUCUGCUCCUAUACGAAUGCGGUCUAAAUCUGGGUUUGCAUAUCUUGAAGAAGGCGACACCUCCUCAUUGUCUUUGGUACCUUAAGCCUCGAUGGAAGACGAGGGCAAAACUCUUUGGAAGCGGAGACUGGGUCAAGAGAUAUAGCCCCAAUGAUGGAAACAGUGGGGUCCUGGAGGUUGGCAUCAUUGUUAUUCAUUGGACAGUGGCUGGCUUUCGAUCAUGGUCGUUGGGCUUCCUUUCUUGGCAUAUUGAAACUCACCCAUGGAAAUGAUUAGAUGAUGAUUAUGUAUAUUGGGCAUAUCCAUGAGACGUCCCAUGAUUAACCCUUCGAUGGUAUCUACACUAACGAUAACUCAACUCAACACCGGGGCAUCAUAUGAGAAUGAGUUUCUCGCGGAGUCAGUGUCCCCUUCGCCAGCAUCACAUCGAACCAUCUCUCCCUAUCUCUGAGAUAGAAAAUCCUAGUUGAGAUUAUUUCUGCCUAUUCAAUUCCUACAAUGCUUCUCUCUUUGUGCAGGUUUUGUAAACAGGGUUUCUUGCAAUUAUGGUUAUUAUUACCUAACUUCAGCGACAAAUCCGCCACUUGUCCAGAGGUAAGCAAAGUGAAUCCAAGCACGCACAGGGAAAACCUUUGAUCUCGCGAUCUAUUCUAAGUAGAACGCUCCCUCGACCUUGUCCUGGGUCCCUCUUCGCUAGCCUUAUUGCUGGCCGCCCACACCCUCUUUCUAAGAAUGAAGGAAUAGGUGAUUCCAAGCCAUAAACAUUGAUUUGAGAAAAGGACCCCUCUUCUCUUUUGGUAGCAUCUUGAUCUUUUCGCAUAGGACCAAAGGUCAUAUAAAGAAAGAAAGAAAGCUUAUUAUGGUGAAAGCUUAUUAUGGUACUAUUACCACUACGCUGGAAGGAAUGCCCUCAAAUAGCAAUCAGGCCUAGGAAAAUCUCUAUGGAAUGCCAUGAUUCCUUCUUAUAGUAUUUUGAUCUCUGAUUAUACUAUACUAAAGAGAAACUCCAAUGCAAGAGAAGGCGCUGCUAUGGAAUCAGGUCUUUCGGAAGAGAAUGCACAUUCAUAAAUGAUUGACUGCACCCUGUACUAAAGAAGGAGGCGCACCUCUAUCUCUAUCUACUUCAUUCUUUUUCCUUAGGCGCACCUCUUCAUUCAAGGAUUCUCUUCUUUUUCUUUAGGCGCACCUCUAUAUACUUCAUUCUCUUCUUUUUCCUUAGGUGCCCUUAGGGGAAUGGCAUAGCCUUCAAGUUCCGGGCGAGGCAUACGUUCUAUUUGCAUUUCGGGGCUUCUUGUCACUUUUUAGUACCAGCAGCCAUUUUCCUUUUGGGACCUUAAGAGACAGUGUUCAUUUCUCAAGAAUAUGGGAGUGAAGCUUAUCUUCGAAUUGGUGGAAAAGAAUCCCCUGUUUAUGUAUCCCAAUGGAGAUCUUCAUAUCCAAGAUCGGCGAGUUCUGUUCCAGCAGCUUGUCGAGCCAGUGCAAGAGACAGAAGAGAUAGAAUUGGUUUCUCUGAAUUGGCCUGUCCGUGGAAUAGGCGCUGGCCAGAGUACGCUUUAUAAGCAGCUUGAAUAGAAUUGCUUAAGUAAAGGCAACUUCUUUCUUCCCUUCCUAUUUGAUGGGGGUGCCUCCUCUUGCUCUAAAUUGUUCAAAAACGUCCCCUUGAAAAAAAGAGCUAAAUCACACAAUAGGACAGAAUACAAGUGUAAACUCACACCCAAGGCCCUUCCAGAACCUUUCCUUUACCUGUACUUAAGCAAGAGAUAUACUCUUAUAAGUCCAAUACAGAUCGAACGAAUAGAAUGAUUUAGCCGUUCUCGGGGGAAGCACUGAUUCAAAAGACUUCUCUUUCUUACUCCAUACUUUUCUUUAGAACAUUGCCUUCUCUUUCUUACCAAUUCUCUUUCUUACUAAUUCCUCUUUCUUACCAAUUCUCUUUCUUACAUUCGACUUAUCUUUCUUUUCUUACAUUCGAAUUAUCCUUCUGAAAAGGCCAGCCGCCAGAGUCACUUCCGAAGCGCGCACCCUCACAACAACUCCAAUUGUAAUAAGCAUCCAGUUUCACACGCUACGAACACUUCUAACACAGAACAUAAAAGAACCGUUAGGUAAUGAGGACCUCUUUCCCAGCCAGCUACAUUACCAGACUUGGAAGCCGCUCACUUUCAGCUACCCGUAUGAGUAGUUGUGGGAAGAUUCACUGUUUAGCCAAGGCCUUAAUGAAAGCCGAGCCCUUCUUUGUUCACCCGCAAGCCUGCUCCUUCGCAAACACUCGCAGUUCCUCUCGACGCCCCAGCUACGUUCAGUUUGAACUCACUUGCCCCAUACGUAAGGGAUACAAAUCUAUUUAGUUAUACUUCUUAGAACACGAAGACAUAUAUAUAUAUAUAUAUCUAUAUAGAGUAUCCAAUUUCAAUUGAAGGGCAAUUUCUUGCUCAGGUAUAAGGGGAAUCUAUGUAUGAACCCGGGGAGUUAACAUUUGAUAGACAAAAAGGGUGAAGUCAGCCAAUUCACCACUACUUUAUGAAAUGCUCAUCAUAACUAUAGAAUGAUGUUACCAAAUGAGAUUCUUUUCUUUUUGAUCGAGCUCCUACGAGAGAACGAACCCUAGGAAGAAAGGCGAGUCGAGCUCCUACUGGAUAUGAAGCGUAAUAGAUAGAUUCCAAUUGCGUCUCCCUGCCCUUGUGAUAUUGAACAUUCAAAUACGUUCCAAAUGUCAUGAGGCAGAUGGCUCUCUCCACUAAAGGCUUAUUCUGGGACUUUCUUCUUAAUGCUGCAACUCGGCCUGGCCCAACCAAGGCUUUUUGACCUCUUUGUAAGUAAAGUAGAAUAGGCUGUCUUUCUCUGUAAAAGACCAGGCUUUCAGCACCUUGCUUGAUGGCCCACAUCAGUGCCCCGGCUUGACCUACUCUAGAAUUGUACCCGUCUAAUGUUUCGCCUACUUUGUUAUGUGUUUGUAUCCGUGUCUUGGCGGGUAGGGGUGGUCUUCUUCUCCUUUACUAGUAUACGCUUGGCAGUUUACAUAGGUAGAUUAGAGCCCAGUUCCUGUUGCCCUUACUUAUAACGGUAGAAUCCCCAGUUCCAGUUAUAAAGUAGAGUUCCUGUUCCAGCUCCAGUUCUUGUUAGAAUUGAAUACCGACCCUGUUCUUAUGAUAGUCAUAAUCCCUUGGUUCAUCUGUAAUCCUAUGAGAAUUCUUGUUGGAAUGUUUUUCACAGUGUCGUACGGUACGAAGCCUUAGAAGCAGCAGUGCGUGUAGGGCAGUUUCGAGUCUCAAUUCCCAUUCUUAAAUAAGAUAAGAUAGGCUAAGCAACAGAGCCUCAUUCAGUUUAAAGUAGCCAGCAAGCUCAGAAGUAGGAAUGAAAGAAAUAGUUUACAGAGGAAGCAGAGCCAGAGCCAGAGAGUGCUAGUGGAAAGUCAGAAUGCAACUAAGAGGUAAGCUAGUAGGAAAGUCAGAUAGAGUUAGUGCGGGUAGGGCACUUAUAAGAGGCGAGUUCGGGUGCUCAAACUCUAGUAUAACACAACAUCCUUAUGCAUCCAUUGAACAUGUUAGGUCUAGCUCUGGUGUAUUCGGCGGCUCCCUAUUCAGUGCUAUGCAUGGUUCCUUGGUAACCUCUAGUUUGAUCAGGGAAACCACUGAAAACGAAUCUGCAUUAGCAGGUUACAGAUUCGGUCAAGAAGAAGGAAGAGACUUACAAUAGAGUAUUGUAGCUGCUCAUGGUUAUUUAAGCCGAUUGAUCCUCCAAUAUGCUAGUUUCAACAACUCUCGCUACUUCUUGACAUGGAUUCUUGGCAGCUUGGCCAGUUAUUGGUAUCUGGGUCACAGCUUUAGGUAUUAGCACCAUGGCUUUCAACCUCAAAUGCAAAAUAGGAAGUUGAUUGACUUAAGAAUUAUGGAAUAUUGAACUACUGUUGGAGUGUUAUUACUAUAUUAUGGAAUAUGAACGAUAGAUGAUUUUAAGUAUUCCUUGACUUAGCACUGUCCCUACUGGCGAUAGAAGUGGAAAGUUGAAAGAGUGAAGUAUUGUAUAGAAUCACAGGUAAUAUUCAAAACUUAUAUGCUAUUAGAGAUGGAUGCUAUGAAUACUAUACUUAAAACAGUCCAAACAACAAUGCUUGAGCAGUAUCAAGUAGAGUAGAAAGACAUUUGUACCUUGUAGAGUCGUAGACCAGCUCUAAGUGCAGUGUUCAAUUCCUAUACAUCUUACCUAUAUUAUAGAAGGAAGCAGUUAUAUGUUUUAGAGCCAGGGCUGCUUAGGUGGAGCCAACAGUCAGAACUCGCUUACCGGACAGAUACAAGACUUGAUACGAUAGCAUUGCUUUACUCAUUUCUCAUUUAGUGCUCUCCUCUUAUAGAAUAGAGUCAGAAAUGGGAGAGGAUAGUAAUGAAACAGAGAGUUAGUGUAACACAGAAAGAAUUGAAGUAACCCCACACAGCUUGAAGUUAAGUAAAGGGUUGAAGACAGCUUGUAGAGUAAGUCAAGGCAAAGGUCUAUGUUAUUAGGCUCAAAUUCACUAUAAGAUCUGAUAGGUUUCAUUUCAUAGGGAAUUUUCCAUUAGCUCUGUUUAACCUCCGUUCAAAUGUGUUUUUUCUGGGUUGGGUUUCUUACCUUGCGCGCCAAAGACAUCCUUCUUACUGUUAGCGCCCUAGAACCUUUGCUUUGCUUUGCUUCCCUUGCUCUAUGAGGAUAAACAGUAUAAGAAUCAAAAUACAGCAGUUAUGUUUUCGUCUUCAAGUGUAGAGUCAGGAUCAUGAGUUGAAUGCGCUGGUAAGAGAGCUGUUGGCGCAAGUUGACAGUAAAGUUUUCUCUGGUUAAGUCGAUGAGAUCAGUAGAGUGUUUUUCAUCCCGAGUUUCCAACUUCUUAUUUAGGGGUUUGCUGGGUCUGCAAGGGAAGCAGUUACGACUAAGUAAUAAUAGAAUAAGUCAGGGUGAACGGGUCUAUUCCAGUUCUGGACCAGUGCCCUUAUAAUUAAUGCACCAGUCUCAAGUCAAGUUUUCAAGGGGAAGAAGAAAGUGGAGUUUGGGCAAGCUUCAUUCUUCUCUUCCACUAAUUAAGUUAUGGCUCUGGACCACUACCUGGACUUACCGGUAUUCCACUAUCACUCUCCCAGGACCAGGGCAUUCUCAUUCUGCUGCUGAUAAAGAAACUAGAGCAGGCGAUUCUCCACUGUAAACUGGAACUGAAAGAGAAAGGUUCAAUUCCAACUUUGGAACAGAAAGAGACAACACUGCUUAACUGGCCCUUGCUUAAUAAGUAAACUCAUUACUAUAGAGUUCAAUUCUGUAUCUUAGUUGUAAAUGCGGAAGCCUAUGUAUUAUGGCCAAGCUCAAUAGAUAUACUUAGUGCGCUAGCAAUGUAGUAUAGGGCCUUCCUUCUAUUAUACUAUUUCUUAUCUGAGAACUUUACCUGGACUCGAUACCUGGACUCGAUACUAGAACUAUAUACUUGACUUCCUAACCUGUAGACUCAACUCCCACAGAUGCAACUGAUUGUCUUGGCCUACCUCUCCUCUGGUAAAGCACCGAACCAGUCUCUUUGGGUGCAAAUGAUUAGGCGUUGCUUGGCGGUUAUAACAAGUUCUAACAUAUCUGUAGAUCGAAUCAAGGGAAGAAACAUGUGUACGAUUGAAUGCUAGGGUUGCAAGUCAAGGUAGAAAGUGUCACGUUGAAAGAAAGGCCCAAGCAACGGGAUGAGCUACGUAGACAAAAUAGAAUAGUAGUGCUAAAGUUGUUACAAGUAGUGGUCCUGUUCUGGUGAUUGUUAGAGUGGAAGACCGAUCCUAUGAGAGUGUGAGUUGACAGUUCCAGCUGAGUAGUACUUGUUUUAUUCUUUAAUGCCAGUUGCAUCCCAGUAGUCGUAGCCCAGGUAGUCGUAGCCCAGGUAGUCGUAGCCCAGUUCUGGUUCUUGUUGAAUACCGAGUAGUAGAGUUCGGGGCGAUGUGACUCAAAUAGGCAUAUUUCCGAAUGUUACUAAUUUCUUUAGAUCAGAAGAAAACAGGAACUACUUGCUUGCCGUAGCGAAAACAGGAACUACUUGCUUGCCGGAGCAGUAAAGUCUCUCGGAGCAGGCGCUAGGUCAAGAUUCAAUGACUCUCUACUUUACCACUUGUAGGGCAUAUACUCUUUCUUAUGAGUGGAAUUCUGACCUUUCUACCACUGAGUGGAAUUCAUAGUUGAAGUUGAAUUCGAAAGAGAAGCUUCUUUUGAGGAGUAGUGAAAAAGAACACUUGUUAUCCGGUUUAUCCAGACCAGAUGAGUUGUCCCCUUGCCGAAACUGUAAAUAAGGGCCUCGUAUACAAGGUCAAGCGCCAAGAGCCUUUAGUCUGGAUUAAGCCAAGCCCAACUCACCAGGUAGUCAAUCUGACUCGCCGGGUAGUCAAUCUUACUCACCCACCGAGGUAGUCCACCAAUUACUUUGUUACUUUCACUCUAACUCCCCUAACUCCGACUCUUACCACCCUGUUGAUAAGCCUGCUCUACUUAGCUACUGCUUUAUCUCAUUAUGAAACUAACUGCUUUCAGUCUAUAACUCCUUUAUUGCAUUAUGUAUCUAACCUUUGAUUCUUUUAAUGCUUCCUUGCUUACCUACUUGUUAGUUAAAGAACCCGGGCCUACUCUAUUAGACUGUAGCUACUGUUUCCAAGACUUCAUCCAUAAAGCAACGAAUCUAACCACUGCUACCGAUGAGAAGCCAAUAGAAUCUAAUGAGAAUAGAAAUCCCCUCUACUUCAAUGAAAAGAAGAACAUAAAAGCCUUUUCCACUAUUUCCAAUAGGGCCGGGCGGUUUAUAACUCACUCUUCUUUCAGCAUCUUAUAGACUCUCCAUUAAAGGUAUAAUAAGUGCUAUUUUCUAUCGGGAGAGGAUCGGCGGAAGCUCGUGCAUUCCUUUCAUUCCCACCUUCAUAGGAAAGAUCUUACUGUUCCCUCCGAUCAAUGGUCGAAUAUGCUGCCGUUCCCCUAUCGGUCGAGAAGUCAACUCCUUGGGUGUGGACAGAAGCGUAUCUUAUCCCGAAACCAGAGAUACUUGAUUGAGGACUGAUUCGAGUGGAUCCUGUUGCCAGAAAGUGCUCUUUCCUAGUCGGGAAAAAAGGCUACCAAAUGAGAAAAUGGGUACUGAAUCUAUAGAAAACAAAAACUAUCGCAUGCUUAUGACCCAGUAACUAACUCGUUAUAGGCGGAGAAGGAAGUUUAGGGUGAGUUAUUCCUAUCUAUUCCUGCCCUUAUUAAGUAAAGUAACACGUAAAGGUCCGGGCUCAAUUCCACCCUUUUAUCACUUCCCAAUGGUUGGCCCCACUCCUCAGCUAAUCAAUGUCCCCUUCGAUUUUAUGGAAGAAAGGCUUGAAGCACCUUGAUGACGUGGAUGCUUCAUUCAGUAGUGUUGAUCUAUUUGGUUUAUCGAUUCUCUUUUGCUUAUCCGGAGGAAUCUUUACAUCAGAGAAGAGAUGUGGUGAUGCAACUCCAUACUGGGACUGGCUAACGCCUCUUACGGAUUAUCUACUGGCCUAUGGCACCCAAUAAUCUAAUGAGUUGAGCAAUGCAUUAUUUGCUUAUGGUCCUCCCUCCUGUUCAUGGCUCGGGUAGCAUUCCAAGGCUUUGGCAUAUUGCCAACAAGAACCUGUCCUAUAUACUGCUAAAUGAAAGGAAUUCCGCAUAUUAGCCCUAAGGAAUCGGUAGGUUAUAUAUAUAUAUAUUUGAAUAGCACUUAUCCUCUCCAUUUAGUAAUUGAGUUCUUUUUUCCUCUCCAUUCAUUUAGUAAUUGAGUUCUUUCCCUUUCCGUCGAGUGGUAAAGUCACACUCAUUCCCUCCCCGAAUCCAUCAGACAGAACCAAGCCAAAAGAUGAGAGAGAAGGGGGCUUUAGACCACUAUCCAUCUUAGAUCCUCCAUACAUGAAGCCUACCGUUGAUUUGCUUUCAUCCACCCUAAUCCGCAUCGCUAUAUCUUUAUAUUCUAGUAGAAUACUUUCUAUUCCAUUUCCAUACACCAGAUCAAGAUCAAUGCGCGAGAGACUUCAUUAUCCUUUGAGCGAUGCAUUCCAAUGCUCCAAACCGAGUAAAGUCACACUUACGGCAUAAGCGAUGUCCGGGCGAGUGCACGUCAUUGCAUACAUUAUUCAACCACAAAGGCAUCAGGGAAUUCCCCUACUCUUAUCUUUAUAUUCUGCAUCUUUUGGACACAUCUUUGAAGAGAGCCACAAGGAGAAAAAGGACUCAAAACCGCUUUAUGAUCAUACGCAUCAUGGUGAUUUAGAAGAGAAUCAAUAUCUCAGAUUGGAUGGAGAGCUUUAUGGUUUUCUUUCUUUUAUCUAUCCCCAAGAAUAAGGAUUCCUAGAAUAACAUGGGCUUCGAACCAUCUCCCCUUCUUUAGGAAAGAAAGAAAGUGCCUUCACCGCUCCGUGGACUCCUCAAUUUGUUUCCUUAUAAGAAAAUAGUCAAUGAGGGAAAAGACCUCAUGUCAAUAAAAAAGAAUCUAUGUUGGUUUUGGAUUUUCUAAGAAAGAUUUGAUAUAUGUCCAAUUUCUAGUGGUGGUGGGACCAACCAAGAUGUAUGUCGUCCGACCCGACCUCAGACUAUUUCUUCCUUCCACACCUAUUUGACUCUCUGGCCUUAUUCAGGUGGUAUCCCGAGAUUGAAGAGAUCGAAUUCCUCCCGGGAACACACAAAACAAAGAUAUGGAACUAGAGAAAUCGAAAUGGAAAAGAGAUGUUUCCAAUUCAUCCAAAUAAUAAGCUUUUUAUACAUCCAUAUGAUCCACUAAAGUUGAUCCCUAUUGCCCAAGAGAAUUCAAGCUGAUCUUGGUCCAUUGAGUCGAGUCCCAAGAAGAGAAGAACGAAAACCUGUCCGAUGCUUUUUAGGCCAAACCAAAUACUAUAUCCAAGUGGGACCUGCACUAUGAGAUCAAAGUCGGACCUGCACUAUGAGCAAGCUGUGCGAAAAACCGCUUCUUUUAUCCGGUUCCGCAACAACUUGGGCUAAUUCCAAUAUGGACUCCAACGAGAAAGAAGACCUAAAGUUCAUCACCACUACCGGGAAACCAUUGAUUUGAGAGUUUUCGCCAUUGGUUACUGGUCGAGCCACUGGAAUGGAAUGAGAUAAGAAUAUAUGGAGAUCCUUCCUCCCCACUUACUCGUAAAAGGCUUUCCCUCUGUAUAAGACUUGUUCCGAAUGGCAUAAUUGUCGUACACUUCUAGCCUCGAUCCUCAAAUAAGCCCUACUUGACUUUCAUGAAAGCUCCUACUACUCCGAACUUGAUCGAUAGUCCCAAUUAGCAUUAGUGCCAAUUAGCUGCCUUUUUGAAGGCGGUCAUGUGUGAUCGAGGAUGAAACGGUAGGCUUUAGUUCUAGCUCUACAUUAGGAGCACGGGGCUACAUCUAUCUAAAGAAGAUACAAGGACCCCCGAUACCGAUGCAGAACCGACGGGGCUCUGGCAAUCUCCGUACGAAUAAACUUGGUGCAAAGGUAGACACUCCCUUACCCCUUGGUGCAAAGGUAGAGACACUCCCUUACCCCGGCUUGAUUACUAAUAAUAGCAUGCAGGCUUUACUAGCUGACGAAUAAUAGCAUGAAGGCUUUAGGCGAAGAUCAUGGGGAGUCGAAGCCCUUAGGUUAGGACGUAAGCCAGCCGGAAACCGACUCAUCCACUUUGGAGUUUGGCAUUCAUGUGUCACAACUGUAUGGGCGGACUGAGAGAUCAAAGAUUAUAUGUAAACGGCUGUAAGCACUUGGUGACUGACUGCAUACGUCAAAAAAGAUCGAAGGAGCAUCUGAACAGCGUCACUGUUUUUCUUUGAUGCGCUUACGUUAGGUUUGGGCUCUUUCUUUCUUCUUUGAAGCUGUUGUUUGCUAGCAGGGGUAUGCUAAAAGUGUUUGAAGCUGUAGUUUGCUAGCAGGGUAUGCUCUUUCUUUGUAGUAUCAUUGUUGUUUGCUAGCAGGGCGCUGGUUUCUCUUCUGUUUUUCCGCUUCUGUUUGCUGGCUCUUACUUACAAGCUCAGCACUCUUACUUACAAGCUCAGCAUCCGAUUCCGUUUGCUCUGGAUGAACUUCUUAUAACGAACCUCGCUUUACUUUUGGAUCUAUUUGCUUAAGCUGCGUAAACUCCGAUCAGUUUCUGUUAAUAAAGCUGGCUAGAUCGUUCGCUCACUAAGCCAAGGGACUCACAACCAUUGCAAGCAACUUCUUCAGUCGAUAGGCAUAAGGAAGACCAGAAUGAAUACUACUUUUCCCAAUAGCCCGCUGAAAACAUCUACGAAGAAAGGACUUGGCCCUAGCAUCAAUACCACUAGCAUCGGACUUAGCAGGCACUGUUCCAUUCUUACCAGCAGUGAUUGAAGUCUUAGUUUCACUAGUAGCUUGGCCCUUGGUGGAAUUGUUAUAACGGGGGAACUAUAGUGGCUCUGCCGCUUGGAACUCGCUACCGCAGAUGUUUUCGGGAGUCUGAGCUAAAACGGUAGUGAGUUUUGACUACCUCGUUUAAGUCUUGUUAGGCAGUGUUUCCUUCUUGUUGGUGCACUGUUCAAUUCUGACUUUGUGAGUGGCUUGGCCUUGGACUCCUUAGCUUGACUCUUAGGCUCCCGACCUUCUAACUCCUAUGUUCACCUCAGAUUCUUCUACUAAUUCUGAGAAGUCUUUAGCGAGAGUGUGAGCCUGCUAAUCCUUGCCCUUAAGUCUGAGUUUCCUUAGUUGGAUUCUUGUACAACUUAGUUUCUAUUGAUAGGUGAAGUCGUUAGCAGCGGAGCCCCGCAUCCUUAUUUCCUUGCCAUAAAGUCUUAGACGAUUUGCCUUGCCAUAAAGUCUUAGACGAUGAGCUCACAGACUAGGAGUAUGAAGUGGGCGUAGUAAUAAAUUAGAAACAUAGGUAUAAUCCAACUCAAAACAAACCUGUAUCAGACUUCAAGUAAUAAGUAACAGAACGAGAAGCAUCGCACCAAGAGACAAAGGACCAGUUCAAACAAAGAACUCAACCUAGUAAUAUAAGCGAGAAUCCCUUUCCCGAACUCUCCUCAGGCAACUCAUCAUUACCCGGGCCAACCCUUGACUCUUUUCCUCUGGACUAGAGCAGCUCAUCUAACGAAAUUCUUAAUGAAAGCUGGCUGUUAUUAGAAAGAUGGAUCUCCUUCCUUCCAUCAGGCUAAUUAAUAAUAGAAAGAGGUUCCUGAAUAGACGUAAACAACAUUGCUUACUAGAAUCUUUGGAGCGAUAGCCGGAACUAGAGCAAAUUACUGGUAUUCGAAAGCGAAACCUAGGAUUCUACAUAGCCUUUAAGUUCACAAAGGAAGAAAUAAGGGAUUGCCCGGAUCUCGUAUUCCAUCUGCCAUAGACGCUUUCUUUCUUUUAACUAAGCAACCAAGCCGGGGAGUGAGGAAAGCGGAAGUGGGAAUAAACAGCAAGCAAGCCGGGGAGUGAGGAAAGCGGAAGUGGGAAUAAACCAGUAGCAAUCAAAAGGGUACCAAGCAUUACUGACAUUCCUAUUAUUAAAGGAAUCGGUGAGUGAAGGCAAGAUAAAGGAAUCGGUGAGUGAAGGCAAGAUCGGAUCUUUCAAGCGUUACGUGUUAAAGUCUUAGAAUAGAAUGACUUAUAAAAGAGCUCUUAGUGCACCCGGAAGAUGGAAUUGAUUAAGUCUUAGUAGCGGUCUCAUUCCUUUCAUUGUGGGGAAAAUGACCAUAAGUUGCUGUGUGUGUGUGGUACCCUAGUUGUUCAUGCGAUUGAGGAAGCUUUAUACUAGGUCUCUUAACCCCUUGGCAUUCUUCCGAUCGUACUCAAUUACUUAUGAAUUCUCAAUGGAGGCUAGCCCUUUUUGCUCAGAGACAGCUUACUACUUUACUUACUUUGGCACAGCUUCCUGCAGUGAACGAACUUCAUUUGUUAUAGCGCUAUAGAAUAAUAUCGUAAAACACACACUCUCCAGGCCAGGACAACCUCUUAGCCCUUAUUUUGUUGCGGCUUACGUGAGUUUUGAUCUUUCAUCAUGAAAUAAAGCCCCUAGACUCAUUAAUGAAUGCCUUUUCUUCUUGGUCUCUAUCACUUGUUUGCUUAAAGUUAGAGUGGUCUAGCUGUUUCCAAUAAUAUCUUGGGGGUUUAGAUGUUUCCAAUAAUAUGAAGAAUAGCAUAUGCGGGGCGUUAUCUUGGUAAUAAUAGCAUAUGCGGGGCGUUAUCUUGGAAUUCUCAUAUACCUUUCUAGACCCAACAAAGAGUAUUUUGCUUUAGGCGAGACUUCCGUUAUGCUUUGCUCUUGCUGAAAUACAUGACCCUGCACCCAUUUAUAGAUGCUGAUGUAAUUACAUCUGAGGAACCACAGCAUUUGUUGCAUCAAGAUUCCUGUCGUGUAACCUGCGCAGCCCUCCUUCAUUCUUUAGGCCGCUUACUUAUUAGAUGGCCUUAUUAGAUGGCCCUGCGCUUACUUAUUAGAUGGCCCUGCAAAUGUAAUGGAUCUUUUGACUUGCCUCCAAUUCAUCAACAAAACAACUGAAACCACACCUCUGGAAUAAUUGACCUAGGGAGGUGGAAAGCCGAAGCCCAAUGGGUCUGUAUAGAGAACACACUUGACCAUACCAGCUCAAGCCUCCCGUCGAAAGACAUAGCAAGUACUAUAUUCCUUCCCCAACUAAGAAGUAUUGAUCUUACUUUAGCAACCGCAUCAAAUUUAUGAAAGUGUUUGUGAAGGUGAGUCCGAGGUGGUAGGCUGCCUUCUUCGAUACCAAGUCUCUGACGGAUGGAGGCUUUACAAGUGCGCAGCCCGGUGAAAGUCAAGCUUACUCUUUUUUGUAUUGGCUGAUAGAGAGGCCAGAUAGAGCUUCGAACUGCUUCCAAACGGAUCCACACCACAGGACUGAAGAUAACCAACCCUUUAUAUAUAGAAUACCAGGAGUUCGUCAUCUAAAAUGCAAUUGGAAAUAUGGAUACUGAGACCAUAUUGAAUACUGCGGAAUACCACCCUGAUCAUCUUGAUUUUAAGAACCAUAAAUGCCAUAAUAUAAUAAUAGCGAUAUAUAGGGAAUAGCGAUAUAUAGGGCCAGGGGCUGGUGGGAUGGAUCAGAUCUCCCUGUCGCAGCCUUCUUUUAGAUUGGAAGAAUCCGACGGGAAACACCCGUUGACAAGGAUGGAAACCAUGGGGUCACCGAUGCAGGCCUUAAUCCACAAGAUCCUGGUUUCCAAAAGACACAUUUCUUGGUGUGAAAGAGAAAUUGCCGGUUCGAGACGCUGUCGUAGGCUUGGAAAAAUAGAGACUCGCCAGACAGAGGAAAGAUUAGAGUUCCCCGCUACGCUAAAAUCAUGUUGGCAGUGGUCCUGAAUGAUAAUGAUAAUGAGAAAACACUGAUUGGCUUCCGGAGAUAAUAGAAGGGAUUACACACCAGCAAGCGCAUAGUUAGGAUUGAGGAUAGAGAAAUUUCUAUUGUUAGUCAAGUUCAAAAGAGAAAGCCGUAGAAAAUGUGCCAAUGUUACUCAAGGAAGCCAGCCAUAUAACAGUAUUAGAUUCCUUUAAAGCAGUCUUGCUUGGGGAUUGAUUGAUUGGGAGUCAGAAUAGUAUGAUUAGCCUCCCACUUAAUAAGUCUUACUGAUCGAAAUACGUUUCUCCUGGCGGGACCACACACUGAAUCACAUCCUAAGACGUCUGGAAGAAGGCAGCGGGGAAUCUAUCUGGCCCGGGGGAUCCUCUUAAUUGGCCUAAGCUUCUUUAACUCGUAGCCUCAUCUGAAUUUCUCGAACUAGUGAGUCAAGAGCUAGCCGGAAGUCAGUCUUUUAUUGAAGUGAAGAAAAAAGAAAGGAAAGAAGGAAGAAUGGGUCUACUCGGAGAAGAAAGACAGAUAUACCGCACUACAAUUCAAGCGUAGACGUGUUAUACGCAGACAACAUACUUCUUUAAGCCUAAAUCAAAACGGAAAGAGAUUUCUCGUGGUCCCUCCCAACAAUACGUUUGCUCUGAGGUUGCGAAGCUCACUCUUGAUUUUAGGAAUGGACUUCUGAGGGACGGGCUUCAAUGGACCUUACUCGGAGAAACCUGUCCCCAGCUCUUCGGCCAGCACACCUACACACCCACCACCCUUAUGCCUAUGCAUGUCAUCUUUCUCUCGCUAGCGGGUCUUAAUCAAAUUAGUAUUACUCCCAUAAUGAAGUAGGAAUCUUAGUAUACUAUCAAUGGGAGGAAUCUUUCGGGGUGUGCCUCUGACGAUUGUUACGAAAGGAAGCCGAGCCGAGAGGAACCUGGCGAUUAUUUGAAAGAGUCCAAUCCGCUUCAAAAGCCCAUAGUGUUGUUGAAAUAGCUGUAUCAGUAGUUGUAGUUGUCUCAAUAGACCCCUUUGGAGCAAGCAAUAUGAACCUAAUCUCAUUAUAGGAUGAGAGGUCAAGGUCAAGGGCGGAUGAGAGGUCAAGGUCAAGGGCGGAGAGCUUCUCUAGGGUUGAUACCUUAUUGGGGUAGGCGCUUUCUAUGAAAUGUAGUUUUCCUUCUUUCUCUCUUAUGUUGGGCUUUCUAUGAGAUAUUCUCUAGGGUUUGACUCAUACCUUAUUGUUGGGCUUUCUAUAUAGUUUCUCUAGGUUUUUGUUCUCUCUUAUGUUGGGCUUUCUAUAGAGCUUAUCUAGGCGAGCCUCCAUCUGUUAUGCUUGUGAUCUAGUAUGAAGGUGAGCUUCUCCAGUUCCAAGCCAUACUAUAGGUAAAGAGAAGGGCUCAGGAAAGCAAGCAUACUAUAUAUGAUAUGGGAUAUGGGUAAGGAGAAGGGCUAAGUAAAGCAAGUAAUAAGAAAAGCUUGAUUCUAUUAUGCCCUUAAGCGCAAGCCAGUAAGAGGGCAAAGCAAAUACCCGUAUCAAAUGAGUUUCAGUGUGGGACCGUAGCAUUGGAAAGCGAAACCUCUGGAGUGAGUUUCCGUCUCUGCCAGUAUUUCAUUUGACUAUAAAGAAAGAGUAGUUGCACAGCCAAUUGGAGUCCGUCCUAAGUUCCGUAUUUCUCUAGUGCUUAUGUCUUUGAGUCAGUUGAAGGGCUAAGUGCUCUUUUUAGGAAGUGCUGAUCGCAUUCUUUUUGAGUGCCUGUUUGGAUCUCCUGUGUAAACCCUAAGUCCUGCUGCCCUUGAGUCUGCCUUUCCAAAUAUAGCAUAAAGGGGUGAUUCUUUCUAGUUUUGACUUCCGCUCCAUCCCGACCCCGACUAGUUCCAAUUGUUGCAGUGAUCACUUUCGCCAUUUGGAUGGAUUCCGUUCCUUUUGUUGGUGAUCCAUACGAAUCAAUAUGUAGGGGACGAAUCAAUAUGUAUGGGCGGAGGAUUUCCAUACUUGAAUAUAGAGUUCCCAGCCAGUGAUUUGCAUUUCUAUUAAGGUACAUAAUCGAAAGUGUGAGUUCCCGUUCCAGUUUGUCGUGCCAUGCAAGCUUCCUUAUCGUUGGCUUUACUUGGCGUUGGAUUUCUAGAGUCCGCCCCCUGGGGAUAUUUCUUUUUCUUCUCUCUAAUCGGGAGAAAUCGGGGGUCCCAAGCCACACAGAAGUCUUGCCAGAAUUGUAGUAACUCGUAUUAACUCCUAUUGUUUAGUAGCUUCUGGAAAAGGAAAUAAGGAAUUUACAGUUGAUCGAGCGCAGAAGAUGGCUUUAAGAGCAUCGGCAUACUAAUGAAGGUUAGCACAAGUAAAUAAGUCUAACGCACUACCAUCUGUUACUUUAAAGAAAGAAUCGAUCCCGCCGAUUCCUUGUAAAACUCAUGCUUUCAAUGCCCAUGUCCAAUUGUUAGUCUUACAAUACUGGCUUUUACCCUAGCACUCGUGCCUUCAACCACUAGCUCUCAAGCUAACACUGCCUCUUUUCAAUCUUGAGUUCGAGAUCUGGGCUUACCCUACUUUUUCGAAUUCUUCAAGUAAAUACUUUCCGGCUAUAACCACUUAUCCGGGUCCCCUAUUUCACCUGUUUGUUAGUAUACCUUUCCUAGUUAUCAAACUGACACCACUGCUUCUAAUACUGUCGCUACUGCCUAUGUGCCUAUGAGCAUGUAAUUACUUGUGUUCAACCUAAACGACUUCCCCUCCGAGACUGGCUUCCCUAACGACUAUUCUGACUACUUGGAGACUGGCUUCCCUAACGACUAUUCUGACUACCAUGUCGAUAAGUCUGUCCUAGUUUACUUCCAUUCCCCCCUCGAGUCUUAUUUGAUAGUUUGAGUAUCCGACACUGCCUUGUCUCGGUCUGCUACUACUCAAUCUCAUUCUUACUGUCCUUGUCUUCAAUCUAUAACUUAUGUCUUCAAUACUUUAUCCUCUAAGUCAGGAAUAGAACCUGGGCACACGAAAUUAGCACCCUUUCUGGCUUCUUUGUUUGAGCCUGGGCACACGAAACUAGCACCCUUUCUGGCUUCUUUGUUUGAGCCUGUCCCCACGGGGAAACCUAGAAGGAAUGGAAAUAAUUGACCUAACACACCCUAGUAUGGCAUACAAUAAACCACACGCAAGACGCAACCACAUCUAGAGCGGCACUCGGUCAGUCUUUUAACGGUAGUCAUUCACUCCCACUCAGUAAUUCUUUUCUCAUAUAAUAUUCAAGUCAUUCUUUUAUCGACCAUCAUAUAAUAUUCAAGUCAUUCUUUUAUCGACCAUGUAACCCACUCAUUCUUGGGGCUGACCUUGAUUGAUUGAAACCAAACCCGCGUACGUAGGGCACACAACAACUAUAGAUUGAAACCAUAGUAUGGCAUGGCACCAAUAAAGAUUGAACUCGACAAUCAACGUGCGGACAACCUCUUACCACCUAUCCUAAUGGUCCCCGUCCCCGGGCACUCGGUCUGUGAGCUACCAUUAAUUCCGUAAGUCUUCGGUCGGCAUCGCACCUAAGUCGACUAAAAAAGAACUUCCUAAGAAUUCUGAAUGGGGAUAUUAAUAAUGAAUAAGGCAUUGAACAGUAGUCAAAGAAAGGAAAGAAAUACUCGUAUAAGGGAAAGGCUGCCUUUGUCAGUAGUAGAUGCAUUCUUUAUGUCAUUGAUUUCUUUCUUUAUUCAAAGAGAAAGUAUUAGAAGCCAGAAGUUGAUUCUUUUUGGUAGCCAUAUCUGUUUAGGGGAGAGUCCUGACAGGCUUAGAAGCACUAGUAAGAGAAUGAGAUGAAGCAGUAGGAGUCCAAAGUGAAGAAAUCAGAAUGAAUGAAAAUCAGUAACUACAAUCAAGAUCAGCAGUACGAGAAUCCAAGAAGGGAGUGUUAGGUUUAAACCAAGGAGAUAGGUAAUGUAGCUAACAAGCGUAGGGCUGAGAGAGCGGGUAGCAAGACUUUCACUCGACACCCCUUAUUCUUAGUACGGAGCUCCUUGCUUUUAGGCCUAGACAACGAACCAGAAGACGCAGGUUACCUUGGUAUAGUCAGAAUAAUAGUUCUAAAUACAAACAAGAAGAAGUACGGACCAGCGGAACCAAACUCGGUAGCAUCGAAGGGUAUGAUCCAGCCCAGCGCAUCCCCAGUAUAGAGAGGGAAUCCAGCUCAUAAGUAAUCGAACGAAACUCGAACCCGGCUCUGCCUUAUCUCAACCUUACCUUCCCGACCAUUGGUCUUACUCUACAGCAUCUCUGGCUUUACCUUACUCCGUUUGAGUCUCGCUUACCCAAACAAACUCUCCUUUGAUUUGAUUUGAGACACUACCCCCUAAAGAUGGAACCCGUGUAGGCUAUACCAAUCAGUAAUAGGCUAAUAGGGGCAUAAGGAUGAGAAACACUACUCCGAUGGAUUGCACCCAAGAACCCAGGCUUCAUCAUUGGGGUAUGUUAUAGGGCUUCAACCCGAGCAUAAGGAUUAGACUAGCCAAAAGCUAUGGUGUCAGAGGCGCAAGUCACUACAAAUGUUAUUAUUUGGAUUAUUAUUAUUAUCUCAAUAUAAGUGAUGUUUUGUUUACAAGUUAUGUUUCUGCAAACUCAAAUGGCAAUAAGAAACAAAGCAUAUAGGCUAUUCAUACCAGGACCCCUAUUCUAUUGGCUCUACCUUACCUUUCAUUGCAACACAUGAGCACAAGCACCCUUCCUAGACCUUAACCCCUCAUUGCGUACACACAAGGCUAUUCCCUUACUUACUUUUAGCCUAUUUCUUCUUCAAUUCCCUUAGCAUAGGCUCGCAUUGUAACAUGUAUUGUCACAUUUCUCAUAUAAUAAUCACAGGCAAGCUGCAUGGACUCAAUUGUUUUCCUACUUAUGUGCUUACGAGAGUUUGGGCAAGUUCAAUUACUUGAGUUUCAAUUGCAGAAUUCUUAGUUUACUUGGCGCUCUCUAAAACAGUAGCUAAAGUUGGGGUAGUGCGUCAAUAGUUUCUAGUUCCAGUGAAGGAUCAGAAUACGGUAAAGUUGAGUCUACCAGAUGGAAUCGGGAGGCAGGAUUUGGAUCUCAACGCUGAUGCGUUUCUUGUUUCAGUUGCAAGUGGUGGUACAAGUGUUGUUCGAGCAUUGGUGGCGAGGUAAGUUAUGGGCUUGACCCUUUUUGCUUGUGUAUAAGUCUUCAAGUGGGGUUUAGGGGCGCUUAUGCUUAUGGGAGUUGCGGGGUACUAAAGGAAAGGAAGGCGGAGCUACCCAUAACGAGAAGUUUGGAAUGGGAGGAUGGCGGUGCGUGCAAGAGCAAGCGCUGUGAGAUUAGAGUCAGUAGCGGAGUUAUAGGCAUUAGGCGAUUGGGUCAAUUCUAUGACAGUACUGGUGUUGGCGAAAGUCACGUUCGAGCUUUGUAUCAGGUACUCUGCCUUUGAAGCGAGGUGAAGUGGAUAAUUGCCUAAUGACAUUAUUUGAAUGUUUGAGUAGAAUCAGUCUUUGUACCGAGAUCAUCUGCUAUAUUAAGAGAAGAAGCUAGUAAAGAAUGAGUUGAAAAAGAUAUGAAGCUGUGUUAUUACCGGAAGUUUGAGAUUUUGGGUGCAAGAGCUCCUCAAUGGAAAUGGAAAUAGUACUUUGGAGUUUAAGGUUAGGGAAGAAUAAAGUGCAGAAGCAAGUGAGCGAGAAAGAAAGAAAGAAAACAUCAUUAUAUAGAAGGUCUGGUGCCACCCGCUGCUAAGUACUUUAUACGAGUUCCUGUUCUUUUUGACUCUUAGCCCUAAGUCUAGAUGAAAUAGGUUUUAUACAACUUUUCAUCUGGCGUGAAGGGGCCUCAAUAAGGACUUUCCACUCGGAUGCUAAAGAUGGGAAAGCGAGAAUGAAAGCAAGGAUUAGAUAAAGGCCUAGAAGCAGGAAAGUCAAACUCUAAAGUCAGGAUCAAAGCCAGGAUGGGUAGACUUUAACAGGAGGAGGGGCAGCCUUACCAGGUAGUAGUGGAUUCUCAUAUUCCCCAGUACAAUUCCUUCUUUGAUGAGUUCGAGCCUUGCUACCGGCAGUUUGCUUCCUUACUAUAAGUUCAAGUUCUUUCUGUAGUGGUUCCAUUCUCUUGCUUUUGGAUUGGGAUCCUAUUACCGUUUUGUGCUGAUUAUUAUGACUACUAUUCUAUAUGCCUAUAACAAAGGAGUCAAAGAAGCAGAUAAAGCAAUAUUACUACUAUUCUAUAUGCCUAUAACAAAGGUACUACUAUUCUAUAUGCCUAUAACAAAGGAGUCAACCAAUACAUCGGCACAAACACACCUAACCUAGAGCUACCAUGAAACCACUAAUUAUUUCAAGUAAAACCAACUAUUCUGUGCUAUCGGGUCGAGGGGUCGGUCAACAAGAAAUGUUUGUUAGGGAACUUAGCCUCCCAGUAACGUAGCUCAGUCUGAAAGUAACAGAAAUCAAUAUCAGAUAUUAACAUAAGUCAGUCUGUGUCUAGUUGGCAUGGUCGGCGAACUAAUUCUUUUGUCUAGUCGAGGGGUGGACAUGGACCUUCUAAGCAUGGUCGAGGUACGUACCUUCGCUGAAUGAGAGAGAGCUACGUCGCCCGCUGUUUCAACCAAUGCAUGAAUGACUGCCCGAUCAAAGAAUAAGUGAUGUUGCCGAGCUUUCUUGUUGUUGCUCACGCCUUCUAAGCAUGGUCGCGAGGUACCUUCAGUGAAUGAAUUGCCCUACUAUUUACUAUGAAUGAGUGGGUGUAUCGGCGCUAUAAGACAGAGUGCAUUUUCGAUCCUGUUCGUUCAUAUGGUCUUUGACCGCUUCAAAGCCUUAAGAUACGCUUUUCCUUCAAGGAGAUGUGCCCCAUGCUAGUAAUUGAACCUUUUCUUUGGUUUCCACUUUAUCCUCUAGGGCAAGCUUACUACAUGAAUAGUUUGGUAACAGAUUAUGGGAUCCGAUCGAAAACACAAUUGUCAGAAAAGCCGAAAUGUAGUCUUUCUUGAAGACCGAUGUCACUUGUUUACUUGGGUCCAGUGCUCCCUACCACGGUGAAUGAUCGCUCACUAUUCGAUCUCGCUGGUUUGUUAUUGCCCGAGCAUUGUUAAUCACUGAAACCUUGUGGUGGAUGGCUAGAGUGGUGCAAUGGUUGUUAGGAUACAACUUCUCUAAAACAUAUUCUACAGGAUUCUCAUAAGUCACUUUCACCGGUCUUACAUUGCCCAAGAAGUAUUUGAUCGCUUCAGGUAAAUGGGUGUGCUGAGACCAGUAAAACAAGAACCAUCUUCUGCUGUCAUUGAAGAGAUUGUCGAUCAGUAAACAUGGUGACGAUCGCCGGACCAACCUCGGUGAUCUACAAGGGGGCCGGAUCUAGAAUCCCAGUAAGUAAGCGUGCCGUUGUAAUCGGCCAAUAGGCUACUUAAAUACUUCGCGGAUGCUCUAUGACAAAGCGAAGACAAGCGGAACUAUAAUACAUACCACGCACAAUCAUAAGAAGCUUGCUUGCUCCAAAUCACCUAACAAUGCUCUAUACUUAAGAAAGGAAUAUGCACCAACUACUUAUGUAAGAGAUUAACAUAACACUGUUGACUCUAUUAAAGCAAAGAAUAUACAUCGACUACUUAUGUAAGAGAUUAAGCGCUAACACUGACUUCCGGAGUGCCUCAAUCUAUUCUAUUUGCAGGAGCAGGAAGAAUAGGUGUUUUGUGAUGAAGUUAACUGACCUAGCAGGAAGAAUAGGUGUUUUGUGAUGAAGUUAACUGACCUAUAUAUAAGGUUUAAGGUGCAGUCAAUUCCAUGAAACAAGCAACAGCACAAGAGUAAGGCGGUACAAGAAAGGUAGUAAUUGUAAUAACUUCGUAAUGAAACUAGAAGAUCAGAAGCCGUUUAGUCGCCAGCUGCAAGCGAUUCUAGAGUUCCAGAAGGAGUUCGGGUCGUGGAAUAAUAUCUUACAGGGGAAGAAGUAAUAACGAGUUAUAAAGAGCUUAGAUGGGCACCCCGAGACUCACCUUAAGAACGAAUAGGCGCUGCGCACCCCUAACCUAAGGGGGACUAGGUCAUAACUCUACGGAGGACGAAAACAGGAACUCAACUACCGCUAGAAGCAAUGGAAUCAGAAAGCUAAAGCGAAAGAAAAAGUACUUUAUGAUUACCUAACCUCGACAUUAAGUUUGGAACCGCUACUCUGGUGGGCAUUAAUUCGCUAACUUCACUCCUGCCGCCAUGACGAAAAAGGACUUGGCGAGUGGAAUCGGGUGCUUGGCUUUACCUUUACCUUAGUUGUCGUAGAGUUCCUGUAGCUCUUUCCCUUGUCUUGUGCGCUGGGCAGUCAAGGUCAGUCCGUUUCUUUCGCCCUAGCAUUAGUGAGUUCUGAGUUGUGCUAACACUUAUUGGAGUUUCGAGUGUUUUGUUCCUCUAUUCUAUUCUCAUAGAGUAACAUGCCAUUCUUCAGACAGUAGCUGACAAGCGCCCAGCCAAAUUGAGUAGACUAAACUUGCACCCGAACUCUAGUCAAAGGUCAAGCCAAUACUCAUUUCCUGGCACUGCUGAUUCUAUUGAAACUGCUUCAGGAAAAUACUCCAUUCCUGGCACUGCUGAUUCUAUUGAAACUGCAAGAGGAAUUGGAUUUGCUUCCUCUUCUUCUAGAGUAGACAACACUGGAACUAGAAAACCAGUCAGAAGGUAAGGACUUAGCGUAGCGCGUGACAGACAAUCAGGCAAAGAAACUACACUUUAUGAUUCUGAACCGACCUAAACAAGAACUGAAAGAGACUCGUCAACAACACCAGGAUAUAACACUGCUUCCCCUCUCGAUGUUGCGGAUUCUCUUUCUGACCUUGCCCACCUCUUUUCCUUGGUUAAAGAUUAGACCUUGACUGCCCCCAGUACCUGGUUCUUUCUAUUCUGAGUAUAGUACCUGUUUGUUCUAACUGAGUCUGACUUUCAAAUGUUCUAUCGUUAGGGGAGCCUCUUGUUUCGGCAUCUAUCGGAUCUUGAAACUACUUCUUAUCCUGCGCCACCAGCACCUUACUUUAUCACUGGACCUCGAACUCAAGGAGACUUCGGGACAGAAGCGCUUUAUGGUUCCCUUGUGCUAACGUUUUAUGAGUUCCUGUUUUCAUCAGCUAGCGUAGGUGUUCAAAGAGCUUGACUUUAAGGCUUUGGGUAUACGGGAUUUCAAGUUCACUCGACUCUGACUAAUGAGGGUAGGGGUGGACGAAGUGAAGUUUAGUUUACGAAGGCUUGAAGCACCUUUCUUUCUCUGCUUAACGAAGGGACUGACCCUAAUGAGACUUUCUCCUUACGAGCGAAGGCUACUUAAAUGGAUUCAUAACCCAGAGCAGAACUUUGAAUGCUAGUACAAUGGUUAUCCCAGCAAUGACUAUAGUACGAAGCAGCCCUGUAAGCGGAUCCUCGAGUUCAUUUCAAUUGCAAGGAAGAAAACGAAGUCCUGGACUACUCGUAUACUUGUUGGGGCAUUGAACAGUACUGUAGUUGCUUGGCUCUUUGUUGAGUUGAGAGCCUACUCCUGUUCUGGUGAUUGUUGAAGACCGAGUUGCCAAAGAAGAUAGCUUGGGAGUUUACAGAGUUAGAUGAUAAGAGACAGAGGAGAGGCGGGUUCUGGUGUUGUGUUGGCGAUGAGUAAAAGAACUCGUAUACAUGUUAGCCCUAAGCAUCCCGAGUGGAAUCCUAUUAUAAUGCAAUUGAAAGCAGCUUUGGAAUACCGGCCAAUACACUACUAAUGUGUAGCGGCAGUCCCUUUAAUGCUUUCCUAUAUUUACCACCGACAAGCCUACCAGUUUGAGUAUUCUGCUUGCUUCUUGCAUUCCUAUUUAAAAGAACUACUUCUAAGUCGUUCUCCCGGACCAUAGGCUUCUACCAAUCUGUUAGAUUCUGCCCUACCUUAGCGAGAGUCCCUAACGAGUCAUACUUUGAUUGGAGUUUAUGGGACUAAUAGGAGUAAAGGGUUGGGUACACGAUCUAUCGCAUCUCGUACUAGACGAAUAGUUUGAUUGGUCAGAAUGAAGAAGCCAAACACUAGAUAAGGAACACGGGAAUGCCAUUGGAGAUGUAGAGCUUGGGAGAGCGGAGACACCCGGAAAGUACUCGAAAACUGAUGGGUAUCAGCACUAAAACAAUAGUAAGGGAGGAGUGGGUACCGAGAAGUGCGUGGAGAGAAGUUCACUCUAAAGUCAGGAUACCAGGCAAAGCAGACUAAUAAGAAUAUAGUGCGCCCUGCGUAAUAAGAAUUGAGGUUUAAGUGCUUAAGUCAUAUAAUUCCACUAUCAAGUCAGGACUACAGGAAUUAGUCCAUUAGUUAAAGCAUGUAAGUAAGAAAAGGUAGGCUCAUAUCGAGGGUGGGAAUGCAGAGUUCCCAACACAGUUUAAAGAAUCCAAAAUGGUAGAACGCCCACCCGGUUGAGGUUGAAAGUAGGGGCAGUAAGUCUGCUCACCAGUAGCCCUAUUAUAAGAAGUUCCAGUUCGAUUCCCUUUCUUGUGUGUAUUACUUGUUUUGAGUUGAGCUCUUCUCGGUAUGAGCUCAAUUCUUGGCAUCAGGAGCCGAAUUCCCAUUAUUCCGAGGUUGCAUUCCGACUUUCCUUAUUGUUUCGGUGUAUUAUAUGGAGUUAAGCCUGCUAACGAUUCAAAAGAUGUAAGUUCCAAAUUCUUAGCUCGACUACCGCGCAACAUUAGUAGUUGCUUGGUCACUUCUUUUUCAUUUAAUGGGAAAUCCAAGUAGUCAGUAUCAGAUUUGCACUAGUAAUAAUCAGAAUGGAAUUAAGGCGGAGCAAUAUGGGCAAGCCAACAAGCCGGGUAGGAUUUCAUUCACAGAAGUCAGAGUAGAAAUAAGAAGCAGAAGAUCCAAGUAGAAAACUCAGAAUCCAAUUCCCUAUAAGGAAUGACAGAAUGGGUUCUAAGCCGAACCCGGAUAGUGAUUGAACUACUCCCAUAAGAAUGCAAUUACCACUAUGAGAAUGACACUCAAAAACAGCAACUUCUUUUCUCCUUUUGUAUCAAACUAACUAUCCUGUCUUGGAGGCUUACCCAACCUAUUACUUUCUGGGGAUUCUACCCCACACGCCUACGUUGUAGUCUAUCUUUUAUUGGGUUUCUCUUUUAGUUGCCCCUUAUCAACUCCUUACUUUGACUCUGGAACUCCCGAUAUCCAAUCUGUAUUUGCCCCUUAUGGUCCUUACUUCAAUGUCUAUGCUCUAGGUUUUGUUAUUAGAGGGGUGUGUGUUUCGCUCCUGCCUUCAAUGCCUUUGACUCUCACUUUCCUUUCUUUAAGGUUGAGAUACUGGGCUAGAAGACUCAGAUGUGUUAGCGUAGAUGCUAAUACUAUAGGCAGUCCAAAAGACUAAUAGAGGAAUAAGGAGUUAUGAGCAAUUCCUUAGAGCACACUAAUGCACUUGUAUGAGAAGCACCAAUUCCAUUCGGAUAGUUAUGAGUUCGAUUCCGUUUUCAAGAAAGAGUAGCCUAGUAAAUUAGGUAGGGGCGUACAUCUGAUAUGAGGCACCUAUUACCAAUACCAAUGCUGUACUAGUUUGUUAAUAAUGAAAUAGACAAAUAAGAGAGUCAAGGAGUGAAAGAGUGCAGUUAGCGAGUAGGGCUUGGUUUCCGUUAAGUUCAUAGGUAUACUUCAUCUAAGAAAAGAAGCUAGGGUGCAAGUAACCAGUUGAGGAGUGAAAGUAGAAGCUACGAUACAGUGCUUAGAGACAAGAAAGGAAGGUUCAUACGCAUCAUAAAGAAUCUCAAAUAUAUAGCAACUAAAGAGUGAGUUCUUAGCAAAGAUCUUAACGGUAUUGUUUCUAGUCUUAUUAUAGUGGUAUCAGCUUGCUUGGCCCUUACUGCUUUCUUUAACUAAUAUGCCUAUGAGGGGCCUGUCCUUGCUGUCUUUGAUUUCUUGGUAUUAGUAGUUGGAUGCGCCUACAUCGUACCUAUGAGUUACAUGCCCAGUUACAAAAGUGAAAGUCUCUACUUACUUGGGUACAGUGAAAGCCUUAGAGGGGGUGAAGUCCUGUUAAGCCCUAGCUCAAUUCUAACUAGCAGAGGCAUCAGGUUGAGAUGCCAUGGUAUCAGUUUGAGAGCUGGCGGAUAAGGGUUGGUGGUCAGGGUAGUCAGAACCGGAGUGAGGCAGGUCAGCUUCAGGGUCAGCAGCCAAAUACUAGUUGUAGGCCAAAGUCCUGUUAUCAGUGGUGUAAUCCCCCGUCAUUAGUAGCAGAACGAGAAACAGGAAAGUAGUACUUAGGGAAAUAGGCAGUGAGCCUGGGAGACCAGAUUAGUAGAAUCAGAGUAGGUAGUGGCUUUGUCGUUACUCGUCUCUUCUACUAGCUCUAUUGGUAUGUAGUGUGGACUAGCAUCCUUACUUCUGUAUUUGUGUCCGCCAGGCCAAGAAAGAAGGCUGUUCCGUAGGGAGUUUCAUUCUGAAUUCCGAGUGUCAUUGCUAUACUACUUAGUGCAAUGCUUAUUAGGCGCAGUUCCAUUCUUAUAGUACAGAAUUCCGUAUUUGUGUAUGCAGAAGCACAGCACAGGGAAGGGGCAUCGAAUGAAGGACGGUAGCUGAAUUCCUCUCCAGUGUGUUGAUUCUUUUGAGUAGCGAUAUCAGUCUCAUCGGCGCUAGUAAUAUUCUUAUGAGCAACAGUAUCAGCUGGGGUGGGGGUAAAGAUCCGUAUGUGUAGUUCUAGUUUGAUAUCUAAGAAAGAAAUACUUUUUGUUUGGUGGGGCUAUUGGAGAAUGCGAACCCUGAGUUUGGAGAAGGCAGUGCCAAGCUAAGAUAAAGAAGUAGGAGAUUCAAAGUGGAGUUCAGGAGCCAUAGUUAGGUCUUAUCGAGUAGCUCAAUGUAAUCGACCCUUGUUAGUAGCAGUGAAAUCUGAGAAUUGGUUGUCAAUUCCUCCUUUUGAGUGGCUUGGCUCUGUCCACUUGUCUAGUACUGAAGUGACUUGCCUGCUUGGUUAGUAGUUACUCGGUGACUGAUCGGCAGGUUAAUAAGAAUCUUCUUUCUUUGUUGGGGGGUGGAUGUAGAAUCAAAUCAAGGAGAGUGAGUUUGCUGGUAAGGGAAGUAAGACCAAAAGCCAGUAGCGGUAGAACGAGAAACUGGAGUUUGAGUUUGAUAGCUAGUGAAGGUAGGCUUAGAGCCCGGUGGAAUAAAGAUGAGUAUCCAGUAGUUGUUGAUUUAAUGUCAGUCGCAUUUGCUUGUUAGGAAUAAGAUUUGAGGUCAGUAAAGCAAGUCUGAGGUCGAGUAAUAGCACAGUUUUCAAGUAAGUAGUGGCAGGCUUAGAUAAAGUAAGUCAAGGUUUAGAUCAGUAGCCAAAGCCUUAAAAGCUGUGUUGGGAUUCCCCAGUUAUGAGUAAAAGUAUUGUUGGCACCAGUGCAAUUCCUUAUUAUAUUAGUCAAAGGAUGAGACGCACCUCGGAGAGUAUAGUCUAGGUUUAGCUACUGUUCGAGUGUGAGACGCACUGUGGUUCAAUUCUUCCUACGAGUGAUUUGAGUUUAAGGAACAGUCAAGUCAGAUUGGGAUCCAAGAGCAGCAGACGGAAAGGCAUACCUUUAUUAUUCGACUACAUAAGUUGGUUUUCUCAUAGCACUGCUCGAUUCUUGUUAUCACCAUAGGUUGAUUCUCAUCUUUGUACGUGCUAGAUCAUAGGAGAAAUAUAAGUAUAAAUAAUACCAGUAAAAGAAUCCAAGCCGGGUCUAAAGUUUCAUUGGAAGCAGGGAGUGGAGAAUUGGACCUGUUUCCCUGGCGAGUUAGAGUGGAAAUCCUUAUAUAGAGUUCUCUAUACACGUAGCGGUUAAGGCAACGAAGACAUCUAUUGUAAUAACUUCUACAUAACUGGGAACUAUAGCGGCCCCAAAAUAGGAUGACAUUUCGGAAAGGGACUGCUUGAAUCUGUAUUAGUUGACUCCCCGGUAGAUGAGACGGGAGUUAUAGUAGCAUACCGAUCCUGUUCCUGUGAGAGUUAUAGUCUGCAUCCCGGUAGUACUAUGGCGUAAAGGUCUAGGUCAUCUGCUUGUGUUAAGCAAGUAGUCAAUCUAUCUCCUUUGUAGGCUUGUCCACUACUAAAUCACUACUAUUCUAUAUAUAGGAAACAAGAAUUGGCUGCUCCUGUUAUAACCAAGUCCUUUGUUCGGCUCAUCCAUUUCGGGUCCGUUAGCUUUGAAAAUGUCUUUGCUAUGUUUUUUCUCGGGAAAACGUAAAAGUAUCAUCGCCUAUGUCUUCCAAGCCUAGGAAGUAUAUAACUCUCUUCUGAAAGGCCGGAGCACUCGCAUUCAAAGAAAUAGUAGAAGCUGGAUAUAGCUCUUUUUCCUCUGAUACGGAUCUCUUGGCCCCUAUUCAUUUACUUACUCUACUUAUACUUACUAUACUAAUACAUAACUCUUUAACUCCUUUACUAGCUACAUAGUAUAAGAACAUUCGUACUGUAUCAAUUCUUAUCUCCUAAGUACUGAGUUUAGCCUAGUUGAUUAGUUUCUGUUUCCCCUGCAGAGUCUCGGUCAAGUCCUGUGCUCGUCGGGUUGAAGACCUUGAGUACAGCUCCUGGUGGUACUGCUCUUGUUCACGUUAAAGAGAGGAAGUCAGGUGCUCCAUAGGUUCAAUUCAAUGACUCUGGUAUUGAAGUUCAGAAUGCAAUUCGUUGACAUAGUAGUUUGCCGGAGGAGAGAUUGAGUUGCCAGCAGCCCCAGUUCCAGCUUGUUGAAUUCUGUAUUUUAUCCUUAUUUAAGAUUAUUUAUUUAUGACUUGGGAUUGGAUUCUGGCACGACCGGCCUCCCCACAAAUACGGAAUUUACAUCUCAUCUAGUAAAGCAAGCAUGUGGUAUAGACCCGUAAAGACACUACACAGCAGCAGACUUGAUCACUACACUUUCCGGUCUUGUAGCUUCCUUUCGCACUGCUUCUUUUUGAGUCAAUUACUUAACUGCUUCUUUCACUAUCAUUGGAUGGGAACUCCUCGUAUUCAUGGUCAAAAGGCGGAAUAAGGCUUAUUUCUCGUCUGUAAGGCAAGGUGUUCAAGCCGGAUUUAUAGUACUCGUGUUCAAGGGCUGGCUUCUCUUCUUUAACUCCACUUUCAACUGCUCUGCUCCAUCUUCUUAACCUUCUUAAGAUCUCUCUUCCUUUGCUUUUUCUUUUGUCGAACAAUACUCUCUCUUUUCUUGUCUACCGUACUCAACCUGCGAGCUACAUCGGUGACGACACUGCUUCUCAAUAUUAAUAGGAUUUAAACAAGAACAUAACUCGUAUGAGGGACAGAUGAAGUUGCCAGAUCGGAGGGAUAUGAUUUGCUUGUUUCGUCAGCUGCAAGUGAAGUUGAAGUGGGAAAUGAAUCAGAAAGUGGAGUCUCGGAGAGAGGUUUCCAAGUUGUCGGUGCUUGUGGAGUUACGCACUUUACUCGGCGCGUAAGGCGCCAAGCAACUACUAACGACCAAGCUUAGGCGCAAGACUAAGUGCGGUAGCCAAGGUAAUAGAUAUGACAAGUUAUUACAAUAGAUGCUUUUGGGGCCGCUCCACUCUUUUGGAGAAAAUGACUUAUUUAUUGCGCUAACAGGAGGGGCAAGUGAGGAUGAAGGCGAAACACUAAGUGCUAACAGGUAAGUUCAAUCUUUUACUGCUUCUCUUCUAGACUAACUUAUACGCUCAAUAUCAAUAGUAAUAUCUUCCAUUCCUUUUUUCUUUCCUUGGCGCAAGGCUCUUAGCACCUUGUUUGCGUCUUCAAGUAUAGAGUCGAGAUCGGGAUCAGGACCUUAAGUAGGGGAAGAUGAAGCAGCGGUGUCGAAGUAAGCUGUUAUCAAGUCAGGUUUUCUGUUUUCCUAGUUGACUCGGAUAAAGGGAAGGAAAGGGAGCAGCUGAAUUCCAACUUAUCUAUUUGAGAGCACUACACUAGGGGGGGUCGGUCAAUUCUGACUUCAUAGUGUGGAGUGCACGGUUCUCAAUAUAUCUAAUAGGGGAGCGGGUCACUCUAAUGAUUCUCCCACGGAGGGGAUACAGCUUAAUAUCUUUCUGCCACGGAUUAUCUCUCUCUAAGACACCUUACCUUGCCAAUUGCCUGUUUUUAUUGAAUCAUUGGGCACCACUCCAACAUCCCUACUACUUAUAAAUCCCAACCCAGUGCGGGCUCAACACCCGAUGAACUUAUUGCUUCGAAAGCAAAUCAAUCAUCUUAACCUUAUCCAGUAUAUGAUCUCUACUCCUUUCUUGAAACAGUAGAUUCUCUAUCUCCUACUAAAGAUACUUACUCCUUAUACAUCUUCGUAUCUGGCUCUCCAACUUAUCUAUCUCCGUAUCUGGGUCCAGCUCCAAACUAUCCUUACUUAGAGUCCACACCUGAACUAGCAGACCCGCCCGCCUGCUUCCUUAAGAAUACGCAAUACUUCACCCUAUUAAGAAGAAGAAAUAGGUGUUGUGUUUGGGCGAAUCAAGAUAAGUGUACGGAAAACGAUCUUAAGCAGGAACAGGAUAAACAUUAGAUGAAGGAAGGCUAUAUUCAUUUCUGAAUGAAAGUAAAGGAGCAAGCCAGAGGUAUAUUACCAUAAAGCAAAGCUGGAAGGGAAUCCUCCUUAUCUUCUCGCCAACCCAUGUGCUCUAAGGUCACUCACCCACCUAACGAAGGUAACUAUAAGAAGAUAACUAUAGAGAAGCGGGUUCACUAGAGGAAAGUAGAUCACUCGAGUAGCAGGAUUGAUCAGCGCACAAAGCCUUGUUCCAGAGAAAAGUAUGGUGAAGGUUUUGCGUACCUCCUGUAAUAAUUAGUUUCAGAAGUGAGUUACAGGCUCAUAAGCUGUGCUCGUUAAGUCUACAAGAGUGGAGGAAUAGAUAAGGAUGAGUAAUAAUAGUCUAAGAAUCCAAGUUGGGAGUGGAAGGCUAAUAGACAGGAGAGUCCGAAUGAAAGGACCAAGCGCGAAGGAGUGGGAAGUCACCUUGCAAGUAAGAAUGGAACUUGAUUGUUGAAGUUGAAGAAUGAUUUGUUGCCCUGCCAAGCCGGUAAGAUGACAAAAGAAAGGGAAGCAGUCUUGAGUAUAGAUUGAGGUAAGAUUACCUUAUCUACAGGGUCUCGAAAGAAUCAAUGAAUUCUGAAGCAGACAGUUGAGUCCGUAACAUUUAGUAUAGAAAAACUGUAAACAAACGGAAGAAGAAUAGAGGAUAGGGCAUCACUAUGUAAAUAAGUAAGUAAACUGCCUAUUCAGGACUAACCCCUUGGAUGAAAAUAUGGGAACACAUAUCAAUAGGAUGAGAAUGCCUUACCUCCGCCCUAGGUACCUUCUUUAUACAUUACCUAUGGACCUGAAACCCAUACUGGAAUUCCAUUCAUGAGCCCUUAUAUACUAUCUUAUUUAUUAUUUAUUUGACUAUCUUUUCCCUUAUAUACUAUCUGACGGAAUUCGCCCUUAUUGACUAUCUAUUCAUUCACGCUUAUCUACUAUCGGAAUUAACCCUUAUUGACUUUUCUGAUUUCUUAUUGAUUUGACUAUCUUUUCCCUUAUAUACUAUCUUAUUUAUUAUUUAUUUGACUAUCUUUUCCCUUAUAUACUAUCUGAUUUCCUUCUCAAUCCAUAGAAUCAAUGAAUAAUAGAAUUGUCUCUCUCUCCUCUCUCCUGAUAGGAUAUAGGACUGGACAAAGGCAAGGGAAAGAAUAAGAAGACGAGAAGGUUAGUUGCCGGAGUGGGCAAUAGGUCCUAAAGUGGAUUAUGGACAUACCAGUCUAGCUAUUAUCUAGUAAUAAGGACAGAAAUACAAGAAAAUCCGUUAAUGAACUACCCAGAGGUUUGUGUUAAUUAGUUCAGGACAGAGGCGGAGGACAACGUCUACAACCCUUACGUGGACAAUAGGCACCAACAAAUAAGGAAUCUAAUAUUUCCCUGGACACUGACUUACAUAAAUGAGCGUUCCUAAGAAUCUAUUUUUCAUACUAUGUUAUUUGCCUCUCAACUUUAAUGAAAUCCAAGUAGUCAACUAUUCCAUAAUUGAGUAUUAAGGUAAACACACUCCUUUAGUAUUGAUAUUAUUCUUGUAACCAAAGUCUGAGUUACAUAUUCUAUUUCUUUCGUUUUGUGAAAUCUUUCUAUCCUCCAUUCUAUUGAUUGAUAGGAAAUGCAAUGAUCUAUUUAGUGCUCCAAUCUUCAUUCCAAUAAUCUAGCAGUAAGGAGUGAGUUCUUAUAUACUUUCUUUGGUUGGAAAACCCAACGCCAAGUCUCUAGUUGUCUCCUUUCUCUUUUCGGGGGAGCAGAGCAGUCAAAGAAUGGAAAAGGAAAUGAUUCUUCAUUCAUUAUCAUGGCGAUUCCUCACAAUUGCUCCUUGUGAUGCUGCGGAACCCUGGCAAUUAGGAUCUCAAAAUGCAGCAACACCUAUUAUGCAAGGAAUCAUUUACUUACAUCAUGAUAUCUUUUUCUUCCUUAUUCUGAUUUUGGUUUUCGUAUCACGGAUCUUGGUUCGCGCCUUAUGGCAUUUCCACGAGCAAACUAAUCCUGUUCCGCAAAGGAUUGUUCAUGGAACUACUAUUGAGAUUAUUCGGACCAUAUUUCCAAGUAUCAUACCGAUGUUCAUUGCUAUACCAUCGUUUGCUCUAUUAUACUCAAUGGACGAGGUAGUUGUAGAUCCAGCCAUUACUAUUAAAGCUAUUGGACAUCAAUGGUAUUGGAGUGCGCCUCUUAACGAGGGUGAUUUAAGUGCUUAGAAAUGUACCGGUAGUUCGCGAAGCAUCUGGCUUACCAGUAAUCUCCCAUUCCCGGCGUCGAGAGACUAUAAGAACAAUAGCAUGCCAGAAACUGGGGAGUUUCAGUGGUUAGACCUAUACCCGGAAAUGCUCCCAGCAUAGGAGCCUAUGGUGCAAUUCCUUUUGUUGCUGGAGGUACACAUACCUCUUUUCUCGGUGUGGAAGUAAUAUACGAAAAAUAGAUGCUUAGGCAUGCAAUGUCCGAUAACAGCGCUGAAGUAGUUCAUCUAUCGGCACCACAGCACAGUGGCAUACAACUUUCUACCUAACGGCCGGCCCCGUCACCUUUCGGAAUGAGGGAUCCCCGUUGGCAACAACCACAGUAGUAGUAGCAGAACUACUGGGCCAAGACAAGAGAGCAAAACCGGUUCUUCCUUUUCCUCUUUCUUCGCUUCGGGGACGGAGGUCCUACAGUAGGUAACAGCAUGCACAAGCAACCGAAGGGGACCAGCGCUUCUACUACGGAACCGAGGAGCCGUUCGCAGCGAUAAGCAAGGGAUGUCGUGAACGGUUGGAAAAGGUCAAACAUAGAGAAUUCAACAAAGUGAUGUCGUAAACAGUAUAGUAGGGAGGUCAAAUAGAAUUUCCCUAAGCGAUUCGUGAACAGUAGGAGGUCAGUCAAACAUAGAGAAUUCCACUCAGCGAUGUCGUAAACAGUAUAGUAGGGAGGUUCAAUCUCAUUUACCUAUGAAUAGAGUCAUCCUAUUCUCUCUCAAUGGAUAUAAUUUCGAAUAUCUCUUUUGCUUAGUCAUCCUAUUCUCUCACUUUUGCUUAGUCAUCCUAUUCUCUCACAAUGGAGGAUCUAAUUUCGAAUAUCUCUUCUGUCCUAAAUUAGAUAAAGAUAUAAGGGUUACUCAAUCAAUUCAAUUACCCGCUGGCAUAAUGCAGGCUAGAAGUGGGAAUUCAAGGUCUCAUGAACGACUUUCUUUUAGUGGAAUCACUUUCUGGUCAGAGGCCUAUAGAUAGAUCCUUUUAGAUCUAAGGUCCGGCCAUUCACAUUCGCAUUGAGAAUCUAUACUCCUUACUGGAGAGGUUAGGAAUAACUCAGUAUCUUAUCUAUUGGGGCCUACAACUUAGCCGAGCCGACUAAGCAUCACUCUUUCUUUUCUUUUCGAACAAAGAAGACGAACUUCACUUACUAUAGGAUCGAAUUCGCUUUCCGGUAGUGAACAGGUCGUGUCGUCCCAUACCUUCUCUUCUGACUGUAAUAUUAGUGUUGAACUGAGUAGUGUUGAACUGAGUCCUUUUUGGUUCCAGCUUCACUUCAGUAGGUAGGGCUGGGCUCAAAAGGGUGGGUCUGCCUAUGAAUAAGUAAGCGGGCCUUCGAUUCCACCGGGGUCUUACGGUCUUUCUCUGAUAGGGGACUUAACUAACCAAAUAAUAAUAGUGCUUGCUUGCUCUCUUUAUAAGAGUAGGCAAAAUAAUAAUAAUAGUGCUUGCUGAGUUUAUAGGUUUUAGUAGGCUCAUCAUAGUGCUUGCUGAGUUUAUAGGUGUUCUAGUAGGCUAAAGAAGAAUAGUGCUCCGUAUCCGUUUAUAGGAGUAGGCGUGGAAAGCUUUUAGCAGGUAACCUUGCAAGUUCAGUUUGGGGGGAGGCGGGCGUCGACCCAACCUUAUGAGUAUUCGGACUAUAACAGUGGAGAUGAAGAGUCACUCACUUUUGACAGUUAUAUGAUUCCAGAAGAUGAUCUAGAAUUGGGUCAAUCACGUUUAUUAGAAGUUGACAAUAGAGUGGUUGUACCAGCCAAAACAAAUCUACGUAUGAUUGUAACACCUGCUGAUGUACCUCAUAGUUGGGCUGUACCUUCUUCAGGUGUCAAAUGUGAUGCUGUACCAGGUCGUUCAAAUAAUACCUCUAUUUUUAUACAACGAGAAGGAGUUUACUAUGGUCAGUGCAGUGAGAUUCGUGGAACUAAUCAUGCCUUUACGCGUGCGCCCGGAUACAUAGGCCGACAGCUGAGCCCACUCUGGCUUAGCCGCACCACCCGUGGUAGGGGUGCGAGCCACCCGAUAAGCAAGCUAUUACAGCGAGCCGCUUGAGCAGUAGGGAGCCGAGGAGCAAGGCAGUAGAUAAGAUCUAAUAUUGGGCCAGGCUCCCGGUAGAGCAGGGGAAACGGUUAGGAUAACCAACUUGAAACGCGGAGCCCGAGCGGCCGGCGAGCGAGUGGUUAGUGGCAAAUAGCGCCCUAGUUGAUGGCAUUCCUCUCUGCGGCUGGCACUAGAGGAACCACGGGACACUCCAUACAAAGGCAAACUCGUCUUAGGGAUGAGACGCCCGCGCAAGGACCUCAAUUCUCAUUAGGAGGUCGAACCAAGGAACUAUAGAAGUCGGGGAUACCCCGUCCCAUGGCAACGCAACAGUGUCCUGAGGAAGGAGUUUAGAGGCCUUAUAGUAGCACAGACCUUUAAUUCCAGGUCAUGCGAAGGGGGCCAGUCCAAGAUCUACAACUCUUCUUAUUAAAUGAAAAGACAAGAGACGCUCUCAACGGUUAGGCGCCACUCUAAGUUAUUCUCAAGCUUCCGAGAGGCGAAGGGAUUUCACCUAUGAUCUGAUUAGUAGGCAACCAACGUGUACUUUUCGUGUUGUUGACGUUGACUUUCAAGCUCAUUUGGAAGGAUUCUCGGAGCUACUCCCAGCUCAAACUAUGGUCGCAGAGGUCUCUUAGUUCAGAUCUAGGAGUGUGAGCAGUACGAGCGGAAAGGCUCUCAUACUGUUUUGAGGGAAGGGGGCUACGAUGCCAAACCUUACCCCUAUCCAUCGUCGUAGAAGCAGUUUCUUUGAAAGAUUAUGGUUCUCGGGUAUUCAAUCAAUUAAUCCUCCAAACCAACUAACCCGUGGAAGCGGAAGCAAUAGUAGGGUGAGGGAAGUGGGAAGCUCAAGGAAGGCUUCGCUCGCUCAAUUCGCUCGGUGGAGUGCAUAAGCCCUAUUUCUUUUAUUGAAGUAGUAGAGGC
This 40039-nucleotide long non-coding RNA is filed under the name Musa acuminata (dwarf banana). Lineage: Eukaryota; Viridiplantae; Streptophyta; Magnoliopsida; Zingiberales; Musaceae. The record is from RNAcentral.